This 1657-nucleotide long non-coding RNA is filed under the name Homo sapiens (human). RNAcentral describes it as "novel transcript". Lineage: Eukaryota; Metazoa; Chordata; Mammalia; Primates; Hominidae. The record is from RNAcentral.
GGCCUUUGUCUCUCGCUCCCACCAGAGCUUGGAAUCCGUCUCUGCUCUUCUGCAUUCUCCACCUCGGGAGCCCCUGGGGACUCUGUGACGGCCUCUGUUGCCCUGUGAUCUGCAGGUCCGGAGAGACGCACAGCUAAGAUGUCAGGACAUCCUGGAAGCUGGGAAAGGGUCUUGCCAUCUCUAAGCUGGACCUGGUGACCUUUUUGGAGGGAAAGAAAGAGCCCUGGACUGUGAAGAGUGAGGAGACCAUAGCUGCACAGCCAGAUGUAUAAUCUCAUCCCUGAACAUUUCUGAUGGUGUGAUUAUGACAUGUGACUUUAUCUGGCAACAGAGUGAGUUGUUGCUCCCGCCUGAGCCCAGCCCCCAGAAAGGAUUGUGACAUAUCGUUGGACCCAGAAUUGAGGUGGAAUUGUGACAUAUAACUUGGCCAAGCACACAGAUGUAAUGGUGUGGUGACUCUCAUACCUAGAACUGGGACCUGUGCAGGAUUGUUAAUUCAUUACUGGACAUUCCUGUGGGUGUGAUUGUUACAUAUGCCUAUGUUCAGCACCCGAGUGAUUUGAUUUUGCUGCCUGGUCUCAGUCCAAAUGUAAGAUUGUGAUUUAUCGCUGAAUCCAGCACCUCGGUGAUUUGACUCUCCCUUUUUUUGUGGGAGGGAUCCUGCAAAUUUUGGGUAUUGUCAAUUAUUGCUGAAUCCUGUACCCAUGUUAUGACUCUCCCAAAUGUGCCUUACCUGUUGUGGCACAAUAUAUCACAUUAGACAUUGUUAAAUAUUGUUGGGUUCAACACCUGGGUGAUGGAUGUAACUUUUUUUCUGGGCCUGCCUACAGGGGACCUUGUGACAUAACUCAAUGCCCAUCAUCAUGGUAAUGUUACUCUCUUCUCCUGCCUGAUCUCUGCUCACAGAGAAAUUGUGACACAUCACUGGCCUAGCAUCUAGGUGAUGUGACUCUCCUCUUUUUUUCAGGCUCUGCAUAUUUGGGUAUUGUGACAUAUUGCUGAACUCAACACCUAAGGGAUGGGAGUCUCCUACCUAGGCCCUUCCUACAGGGGACAUUGUGACAUGUCUCUGCAUUCCUCAUCCAGGAGAUGUGACUCUCCUUUUCUGCCUACACCCUGCCUACACAGAAAGUUGUGGCAUAUUGCUGUGGUCAGCAACCAGAUGAUAUAUUUCUCCUGCCUGGGUCUUUAUUACAGGAAAGAUGAUUGACAUAUUACUGGGCCCAGCAUCCAGAUGAUGUGACUCUCUUCUUCUGUUGGUCCUUGCUUACAGGGAAACUGUAGCAUAUUGCUACACCCAACACCUAGCUUAUGUGAUUCUUCUUUUAGGUUUGCCUUCAGGGAACAUUGUGACAUAUUGCUGGGCCCUGCACUGAUAAUUUGUGACUCUUCUGCCUGUGAUUUGCCCACUUGGGGCAUUGUGACAUAUUGCUGGGUUUAACACUCAGGUGAUGUAACUUUUAUGCCUAGGCCUUGCUUACAGGAGGCAUUUUGAAAUGUCUUUGUGGCUGGGCAUGGUGGCUCAUGUCUGUAAUCCCAGCGCUUGGGGAGGCCAAGGUGGGCAGAUCACAAAGUCAGGAGUUCGAGACCAGCCUGGUCAACAUGGUGAAAACCUGUCUCUACUAAAACAAAACAAAACAAAACAAAACAAAACAAA